This 496-nucleotide ribosomal RNA is filed under the name uncultured bacterium. RNAcentral describes it as "partial 16S ribosomal RNA". It matches the Rfam family "Bacterial small subunit ribosomal RNA", at positions 28 to 507 of the family's 1533-position model. The record is from RNAcentral.
GAUGAACGCUGGCGGCGUGCCUAAUACAUGCAAGUAGAACGCUGAAGGAAGGAGCUUGCUCUUUCCGGAUGAGUUGCGAACGGGUGAGUAACGCGUAGGUAACCUGCCUGGUAGCGGGGGAUAACUAUUGGAAACGAUAGCUAAUACCGCAUAACAGUAGAUGUUGCAUGAUAUCUACUUAAAAGGUGCAAUUGCACCACUACCAGAUGGACCUGCGUUGUAUUAGCUAGUUGGUGAGGUAACGGCUCACCAAGGCGACGAUACAUAGCCGACCUGAGAGGGUGAUCGGCCACACUGGAACUGAGACACGGCCCAGACUCCUACGGGAGGCAGCAGUAGGGAAUCUUCGGCAAUGGACGGAAGUCUGACCGAGCAACGCCGCGUGAGUGAAGAAGGUUUCGGAUCGUGAAGGUCGGUUGUAAGGGAAGAACGAGCGUGAGAGUGGAAAGUUCACACUGUGACGGUAUCUUACCAGAAAGGGACGGCUAACUACGUG